Long non-coding RNA from Gopherus evgoodei (Goodes thornscrub tortoise), 4362 nucleotides. RefSeq lists it as uncharacterized. NCBI's taxonomy places the organism in Eukaryota, Metazoa, Chordata, Testudines, Testudinidae. The transcript has 4 exons. The record is from RefSeq and is a predicted model, not a curated record.
UGCUGGGAUUAUCUGUUGAUUUAGAAGAUCAUACCAUCUGUAGGCCAAUACAUUUAAUUCCUCAUCCCCCAUCCACACCCAACAGGGUACCUUCCAUGGAACUCUGCAAGUGUUAAUUUACAGAGUGCUUCUCUGCCUCACCAGAGAGUUUAUUCUAGAACUAACUGGCAACUGUAAAUGAGACUAGUUCCUACUUUCAGUACUUCAAUCUGAAUCUUACUAAUCAAACUUGCUUCAAUGCCUAUGAAUACCUUACAAUUGGGCACUGUUUUAUUUAUUCAUAUUUAAUUUUGAAAAGGGUUUAUUCAAUUGUGUUUUGUACAAAAAGUAAAAUACAUAUCACGAGAGGACAAUAAUUCUCAAAUUAAAAGAUACCACCAGCAUAGCAGCCCUUGCAACAAAGAUUCUCCAGCUUCCAACAUCAACCCCUCACAAUCUGCCCAUUCCUCAAAUAUUCAUGGAAAUAAGCUGCACUGUCAAUGUGCCCACCUCGUCAACAAAUCUGGUCUCUGACAAAUCAGCAAGCAAAUUCCAAAGUUGUGUUCCCUUCAUAGAAAAUUUCCUUCCAGACAGCCUCUACCAUUUAAACCAUACAGGUUCUAGGUCAAGAGUCUCUACUAACCACAGUUUUGUUAUGAACUGGGUCUGUUUCAAACUCUGUGGAGAGAAUCAUGCAUUGCCUGCAGAAUAUCACAUCACUUUUAGUGUUUGCACAGUAAUCCCAAUUAAUACUAGCAAUAAACUGUCCUGUGAUCCAAAUUCUGACCUUCAACCCCUCUUACCAGAAAAAUGUUUCCUAUAAAACUAACAUCCAAGAGUCAUACAAUUACUCUUUUGUCCUGAAUCUAAACUGUGUGUUAUAGCAACACAAAUACUGAUAACAUGUCUCUUUUCUGAUGCCACACUUUGCCUCACUAACACUGCUUCUGUACCCUCAAUUCAUUUUGCCAUGAUCUUUUGAUAAAUUCUGUCUCGUUACUUUAUACUUUAUUUUCCUUGAUUCAACAUAACAGUGUUAUUCCAACCUUUUAAUCAAUCUUACCUUUAAACACAUGCCAUGUAAAUUCAGCAGUCAUUUUAUAUAUGCAUCUGGCAUUUGCAGCCCUCUGCUUCAUUGUUUCAAUCUCUCUUACACUGUUAAUCAGCAUAUGCAUUCUAUCCAGAGUUUUACUGUCCUUCUCUCCCAACCCUUCACCUCUGGCAUCAAUAAUCCAAAAAAACUAAUGUGUCAAUCUAAUCUAAUUGCCCCAGCAGAACCAAGAUGUAGCUGAUCUCACUUUUGUCAAUCUACUCCCCGUCACAUAGCACUUUAUAACAAAAUCUCUAACCUUCUGACCUGGGAUUAAUCAACUGUUUAUCCAUUUCCAGUUUAAUCCACUUUAUUAUUAUUUACAUUGUAGUAGCACCUAGAGGCCCCAGGCCUAUUGUGCUAGGUGCUGUAAAAACACGUGACAAGAGAAUGUCUCCAUCCCCAAAAGUGUUUAUAAUUUAAGUAAAGAUUCUCUCUUCCAGGCAGAGUGUGUGAAUCACUCUUUAAUACUCUUUAACAUGCUAUUCGUUGUAUAAUUUAUUCCAGUAUAGGUCACAACAAUAUCUAAAUUAUGGUUAUGCUAUUCUUGUCUGUAUCUGUUUGAAGGCACAAGACAUUUCAACAUCUGUAAACUGCAUGAUCUGUCUCUAUUGUGGGUCAUGUCAAUGUAUCUAGCUGUAUCUUGCACUUCGUGUCAUAGUAAGCAGAGAUGUAUUAUUUAAUAAGUAGUCCAAUAAUGAAUACACAACAAUAAUACACCGCAGUGUACGCCUCUACUUUACCUGAGAACUCAGACUAUUACAUAUAGGUUGGUUCCUUCCCAUUUCUCUUGCAUAAUUUAUCAAACUUCUCGGGGAACAUCAUUAAUCUUUGCUUCUGGAAGAGUAACUACAGUCCUCUUUGCCUGACCUUCUUAACAGACCAACUAUCCAUGUUUAGCAUACAAUAAAUGAGAGAUUUCUUUUCUGCAGGAUAUUAUGACUUUCAAAAGGCAUUUGAUCUGGAUUAUCUUCAGCUGGUAAUUGCUGUAUGUUCUUCUUUGCUUGUAAUAACAACAAAUUUGAUUCACUUAGGAGUUCUACCCCUUAUCACUAUUCAAAUAAUGAUAUUUCCAGGAUUAAAUGUUCUUGUUAGUUUUAGUCCACCAAAAAGGCAUAUUUGCAUUUUAUACAUAUAAAUGAUCAUCCACAUUCUUAUCCAUAUGGUUUUUAGCACAUAUGAAAAAUCAUGCUCCUAGUGAAAGACCACACAACUUAACUGGCUGAAUGAAAGUCUCAUACUGGAAACAGAAGAUAAGACAGAAAUACUCGUUUCAAACCAAUUUUGAGUUAAAAGAAGAAUGGAAUUUAACAUUAGCAAGUACUGUUAUUGAGAUUAAUUCUUUCAUAAAGCCUGAGCUUCAGAUCCAUAUGUUUUUGUAUCACCAUAACCAAUAUGGAAAUUGUUCCUAUUGGCACUUCUUAAAGAAUAUCCGACAUUGGUUUAUACAGAUACAAUUGAUCAAGUUAUUUCAGAAACCUUCUUCCAAAUUAAGAAAAUUGUACAGUAAUUUCUUCUCAAUCACUCAGUAGUAUUGCCUCUCUACUGAGUUUAGCAAAUCUUAACUAAAUGCAAAAGCUGUUUGUAUUUAUGGAAAUAUUACAAAUUUUCCUUUGAAACUGGCAAAUGAAGUUCUGAAACAUUUUAAAUUUUUACUACACGCUUGAAAAAAAAAUGAAUGCAUGAACUCUCAAUUUUCCUGUUCCUAAAAAUAUUCUUCAUACAGUUGGUUUUGGUUAUACUGAAACAAACUAUGUUUUAUGCUUAUAUUACUCCAAUUAGAUACAUAUUAAAGAUCUGAUCCUGUAAAGUCUUAUGCAUGUGCUUAACUAUCCUCUAAACAGAAUUAUUCCCUGCAUACAGUUACACUUAUGAUUAAUUUUCUGUUGAGGCAAGUACAAAUAGCUUUAUUCUUUUAUGUUUUGUUCUUGUACUUAGAGCAUGGAUAGGCACAUUUAACAAAAAUAAAUAAAUUACAAAUUGUUCUGAUCUGUAUCUAUAGAUCAAGAUUUUGAUCAAGACAAAGUUAAUAUCCUUGAAGUACAGAAUACUUGCCAAUAUAUAGAUGAUGGCAUUGGACCCUGAGAUCUGGAUCCUGAAGGUAUUUAGGCACCUAAGUCCCAAUGGCUUUCAAAUACCUAUCUAUCUUUCAGGACAUGACCCUGUCAGCCCAAAGCUACAUUCUGAUUGGUCACUUGGAUCUUUCUCAUGAUGUUACAACUGUGCUUCCCCUGGUGCACAGCUAGGGCUUCAUCACUGACACACACAGACACACCAUCCCUUCACUCAUUAUGAGGGAGAGGAAUUGCUGAUAGGGAGGGCAAAGAAAAUAAACAGCCCUUGGAGCAUGUGGGAGGAAAGGAAACUGGGGAAGAUAAGGAAAAAAACGUGAAGGACUGAAGAAGAAUUAUGACCAUUUUGAACUGCCCACUCCCUCAAGACACUGCUUUACAGCAGCACUUUCGUGACCUUGUAAACACUUUCAACCUAAUUCAUAGUGUAAAAUCUAAACUAGGAGUUUCAAGACUGGGCAUCUGCUUUUUAUAAAAGUAAAUGGCUUGAAAUUGGUUUGGAGCCAUGAACAGCCACUGUUAAGGCAUCAGCAGAUAAAGAAAUGGAAAAAAAGCAGUCAAAACAGUCCCAGGAAUUUACAAAAAAGAGAUAAAAUAAGCAAACAAUAGAAAUAUUCAAAAUAGUAGUGAAAUAAUAUUUAUAAACUUCUGCCUAUUUUAUAGCGGGAGGGUAUACUGACUAGUCCCAAAAAUGCUUUGUAAAGAACAUUUAAAAAAUAAAUGAAAUGUACAAUUAAGACAACACUCUCUCCAUAUACGAUUAUAACAGCAAAGAGCUACUCCAGAAAGUGCAUUGGUGGGCUUUUUAUACACAUCUUAAGGGGUUAAAAGCAACGAAGAGGGGUACCAAUAGCUUAUUAAUGUAACCCUGCUGUGGCUUACUGCCAUAUUACCACCUUCGGCAAAAUGAACAUUAGCUUCCACUGAAUUGACUGCAGCCAGUCAGGAUUAUUUCCCUUUCACAUACCAUCUGCCCUGGUCCAAACACUGGCAUUGGUGCCUUCUGAAGAGGUAACAAAUAGAAGCAUAUUGACUCAUUACAUCACUGAUUUCAGUCAAUCAUACUCAUGUAUGUAGCAAUUAUACAGUAGUAAAAAUUUAUACACAAACACACUGGCCUAAUCCCACAAAAUCCUUUUAUUAAAUGGUGGCUCUCUCUUUUCUUUAAGAUGGAAUAGUUGUCUCUGAGAUGAAGAGACAUUUCUUUUUCUAUUUAAGUAG